GGCGUGGCUACAGGUCGAGGCGGGACUUCCUGUCAGGCCGGAAAUAAUUCUAUCCAGUCCGGAAGUCAGCUCGCAAUCCGGCUCUUCGGGGGUCUUGAGGCUUACGGUCCGAGUGUCUGGUGGGGUCAGGGCGCUCAGUGAUCGCUAGACUGCUGCCUUGGUUCCCCUCUUAUUUUCCGGCUGGCGAUGGCGACCUACACCUGCAACACCUGCCGGGCGCUGUUGGACGACGCGGAGGCGCAGCGGGCCCACUACAAGACGGACUGGCACCGCUACAACCUGAGGCGCAAAGUGGCCGGCAUGGCCCCGGUCGCCGCCGAGGGCUUCCAGGAGCGGGUGCGGGCGCAGCGGGCCCUGGCGGAGCCGGAGAGCAAGGGCGCGGCCACCUACUGCACCGUCUGCAGUAAGAAGUUUGCCUCCUUCAAGGCCUACGAAAACCAUCUGAGGUCCCGGCGGCACGUGGAGCUGGAGAAGGAGGCGGUGAGUCGGAAAGUGGCGAUCCUGAAUGAAAAGAACUUGAAGGAAGGGCUGGGCGUGGACAGGGAUGCGGUGAACGCGGCCAUCCAGCAGGUUAUCAAGGCCCAGCCGUCCACGUCUCCCAAGAAGGCGGCCCCAGCGCCCGAGGCGGAGUCCCGGAGUCCAGUGACCGUGGCCGCUGGAGGACGUGGGACUCAGCAGCGAGACCCGGUCGAGAAGCCUCCCCGGUUGCAGUGGUUUGAACAGCAGGCGAAGAAGUUGGCCAAACAGCAGGGGGAGGAGGAGAGUGAGGACGACCUGGAUGCAGAUGAGUGGGAGGAUAUUGAUUCUGAUGAGGAACUGGAAUGUGAGGAUGCUGCAGCCCCGGAGGAGGAGGCAGCGGAGGAAGAGGCUGGAGGAAGCACCCCGCGUGGCGCCAUCCCCGUAACUGACUGCUUGUUUUGUCCCCAUCAUUCAAGCUCCCUCACGAAGAACGUGGCUCAUAUGACUAAAGUGCACAGCUUCUUUAUUCCUGAUGUAGAGUAUCUUUCCGAUCUUAAGGGACUGAUUAAAUAUUUGGGAGAGAAAGUUGGUGUGGGGAAGAUUUGCUUGUGGUGCAAUGAGAGGGGGAAGUCCUUCUACUCCACGGAAGCUGUACAGGCUCACAUGAAUGACAGGAGUCACUGCAAGCUCUUCACAGAUGGGGAUGCUCUUUUGGAAUUUGCAGACUUCUAUGAUUUUAGGAGUAGCUACCCAGAUCACAAGGAAGGGGAGGACCCUGAUGAGACUGAGGACUUGCCCUCAGAAAGGGCCUUGGAAUAUGAAGACGACACCAUGGAGCUGAUUCUCCCUUCUGGUGCCAGAGUGGGUCAUCGCUCCUUGAUGAGAUACUACAAACAGCGGUUUGGCUUGUCAAGAGCUGUGGCAGUUGCUAAGAAUCAGAAGGCUGUGGGCCGGGUCCUCCAGCAGUACAGAGCCCUGGGCUGGGCUGGCAGCACAGGAGCAGCUCUCGUGCGCCAGCGGGACAUGCAGUAUGUCCAAAGGAUGAAGUCCAAAUGGAUGCUGAAGAUGGGGAUGAAGAACAACGCCACCAAGCAGAUGCACUUCAGGCCCCAAGUGCUGUUCUGAGUCGGCCAGGGAUGGCGUCAUCAUCCGUCUCCUGCACAAGCGUCCUUGCCUGGGCACCCGUGGAAGCUGGAUCAGGUUGUGCGGUUGAUUAAAUCAGCAACGGAGCUGUCCCUCGCUCAGUCCGCAGCACAAAAGUGAGCUAUUGCAGUGCAGAAGGCCACAUGGAGGACCCUGAGACUUUCCCACUACGGUUGAGAGAAUAAAUAAAAAACAGUAUCACAUUCGGGAGGAACGGCAAGAAUAUCUGUCACCUCAACCACUCAACACGGCAAGGGUUGUGGUCCCAUCAUGCCCCCAUUGAAUUCAACACUCUGCCCCAUUUAAAACCAGGAUCUUGAUAAUUGAGAACAGACUUAGUGUAUCUAUUACCACCGCUAAAUAUCCAAACUGCCAACACAGAAUCC
RNA transcript from Globicephala melas (long-finned pilot whale), 1988 nucleotides. It is a transcript of the gene named zinc finger protein 622, with no coding region annotated. The record is from RefSeq and is a predicted model, not a curated record. NCBI's taxonomy places the organism in Eukaryota, Metazoa, Chordata, Mammalia, Artiodactyla, Delphinidae.